UCCUUGGUGGCUCAGAUGUAAAGCAUCUGCCUGCCAUGCAGAAGACCUGGGUUAGAUCCCUGGAUCGGGAA
This 71-nucleotide transfer RNA is filed under the name Capra hircus (goat). It matches the Rfam family "tRNA". From Rfam's summary of the family: Transfer RNA (tRNA) molecules are approximately 80 nucleotides in length. Their secondary structure includes four short double-helical elements and three loops (D, anti-codon, and T loops). RNAcentral also lists the same sequence under 1 other name. The record is from Rfam by way of RNAcentral. Lineage: Eukaryota; Metazoa; Chordata; Mammalia; Artiodactyla; Bovidae.